This 511-nucleotide ribosomal RNA is filed under the name uncultured bacterium. RNAcentral's name for it is "bacterial SSU rRNA". It matches the Rfam family "Bacterial small subunit ribosomal RNA", at positions 1 to 508 of the family's 1533-position model. The record is from RNAcentral.
CGCGGGAUUAGGGUUUGAUCAUGGCUCAGAUUGAACGCUGGCGGCUUGCCUAACACAUGCAAGUCGAGCGCGAAAGCACUUCGGUGUGAGUAGAGCGGCGGACGGGUGAGUAACGCGUAGGAAUCUACCUGGUAGUGGGGGACAACUCGUGGAAACUCGAGCUAAUACCGCAUACGCCCUACAGGGGAAAGCGGGGGACCUUCGGGCCUCGCGCUAUCAUAUGAGCCUGCGUUGGAUUAGCUAGUUGGUGGGGUAAUGGCCUACCAAGGCGACGAUCCAUAGCUGGUCUGAGAGGAUGAUCAGCCACACCGGGACUGAGACACGGCCCGGACUCCUACGGGAGGCAGCAGUGGGGAAUAUUGCGCAAUGGGCGAAAGCCUGACGCAGCCAUGCCGCGUGUGUGAAGAAGGCCUUCGGGUUGUAAAGCACUUUCGAUUGGGAGGAAAGGUUCACGGNUAAUACCCGUGAGCCGUGACGUUACCUUUAGAAGAAGCACCGGCUAACUCCGUGC